RNAcentral lists this ribosomal RNA (425 nucleotides) under uncultured bacterium. Its description in RNAcentral is "partial 16S ribosomal RNA". It matches the Rfam family "Bacterial small subunit ribosomal RNA", at positions 354 to 796 of the family's 1533-position model. The record is from RNAcentral.
GUGGGGAAUAUUGGACAAUGGGCGCAAGCCUGAUCCAGCCAUGCCGCGUGAGUGAUGAAGGCCUUAGGGUUGUAAAGCUCUUUCACCGAUGAAGAUAAUGACGGUAGUCGGAGAAGAAGCUCCGGCUAACUUCGUGCCAGCAGCCGCGGUAAUACGAAGGGAGCGAGCGUUGUUCGGAAUCACUGGGCGUAAAGAGUGCGUAGGCGGUUAUACAAGUCAGGAGUGAAAUCCCAGAGCUUAACUUUGGAAUUGCUUUUGAAACUGUAUAGCUAGAGUCCCGGAGGGGUUAAUGGAAUUCCGAGUGUAGAGGUGAAAUUCGCAGAUAUUCGGAGGAACACCAGUGGCGAAGGCGAUUAACUGGACGGGCACUGACGCUGAGGCACGAAAGCGUGGGGAUCAAACAGGAUUAGAAACCCCAGUAGUCC